Molecule: ribosomal RNA, 834 nt
Filed under: Rhodotorula mucilaginosa
Lineage: Eukaryota; Fungi; Basidiomycota; Microbotryomycetes; Sporidiobolales; Sporidiobolaceae
Description: LSU rRNA
Rfam family: Eukaryotic large subunit ribosomal RNA
Source: RNAcentral
UCCCCUAGUAGCGGCGAGCGAAGCGGGAAGAGCUCAAAUUUAUAAUCUGGCACCUUCGGUGUCCGAGUUGUAAUCUCUAGAAAUGUUUUCCGCGUUGGACCGCACACAAGUCUGUUGGAAUACAGCGGCAUAGUGGUGAGACCCCCGUAUAUGGUGCGGACGCCCAGCGCUUUGUGAUACAUUUUCGAAGAGUCGAGUUGUUUGGGAAUGCAGCUCAAAUUGGGUGGUAAAUUCCAUCUAAAGCUAAAUAUUGGCGAGAGACCGAUAGCGAACAAGUACCGUGAGGGAAAGAUGAAAAGCACUUUGGAAAGAGAGUUAACAGUACGUGAAAUUGUUGGAAGGGAAACGCUUGAAGUCAGACUUGCUUGCCGAGCAAUCGGUUUGCAGGCCAGCAUCAGUUUUCCGGGAUGGAUAAUGGUAGAGAGAAGGUAGCAGUUUCGGCUGUGUUAUAGCUCUCUGCUGGAUACAUCUUGGGGGACUGAGGAACGCAGUGUGCCUUUGGCGGGGGUUUCGACCUCUUCACACUUAGGAUGCUGGUGGAAUGGCUUUAAACGACCCGUCUUGAAACACGGACCAAGGAGUCUAACAUGCUUGCGAGUAUUUGGGUGUCAAACCCGGAUGCGUAAUGAAAGUGAAUGGAGGUGGGAACCGCAAGGUGCACCAUCGACCGAUCUGGAUUUUUAAUGAUGGAUUUGAGUAAGAGCACGUAUGUUGGGACCCGAAAGAUGGUGAACUAUGCCUGAAUAGGGCGAAGCCAGAGGAAACUCUGGUGGAGGCUCGUAGCGGUUCUGACGUGCAAAUCGAUCGUCAAAUUUGGGUAUAGGGGCGAAAGAC